GGAUUCCUUAAGUAAUUGCGAAUGAACAAGGAAAUGCUCAGCUUGAAAAAUGGGGCCUUUGGCUUUGAAUUGUAAUUUUGAAAUGUAUUGCCAAUGGAGGCGCAGGUGCAAGCCUAUUGAAAGAAAGCGUCAAUGAGGGUGAGAUUCCUUUUUGUCAUUUGCAGUCCUCCGUGCACGGUAUAUAUUUGACGAGUCACACUCCUCGGCAUUGGAAUGCAAAGUGGGUGGUAAAUUCCAUGUAAAGGUAAAUAUAUUAUUGAGACUGAUAGCAAACAAGUACCAUGAGGGAAAUAUGAAAAGGACUUUGAAAAGAGAAUUAAAAGAGUCUGCAUUUGCUGAACAGAAAGCAAACAGAAUUGAUUUUACUUGGUGAGAUUGUUGUGCUUACUCUAUCAUUUAUAUGGUUGAUGUGGGUGCGAUGGUUCUUACCUUGAAUGUCAGCUUCUAUUUCUGCAAAUCAUUACCCUUGCACAUGAAUGGUAACUUGCCUGCGGGUAUUGGAAUGCAUGUGUUUGCAAUGAUUUGUGAUUUGACGCAUGUGUUUGGUGAAAUUUGUAUAUGCUCUUUUGUCGAAGGGGAAAGCUUACUUUUUUGAGCAUUGCAAGCCCUUACACAUCAGUGCUGGCAAAAUGUUUCUGCUUGACCCGUCUUGAAACACGGACCAAGGAGUCUAACAGAUGUGCAAGUUCGUGGGUGGCAAACCUUUUUGCGCAAUGAAAGUAUUGGCUGGGAUACUUGCACCAGCAGCCGACCAAUUAGCAGACAGAGGUUUGAGUUUGAGCAUAUCUAUUAGGACCCGAAAGAUGGUGAACUAUGCCUGAACAGAAUGAAUUCAGAGGAAACUCUGAUGGAGGUUCGUAUCGAUACUGACGUGCAAAUCGUUCGUCAUACUUGGGUAUAGGGGCGAAAGACUAAUCGAACCAUNUAGUAGCUGGUUCCCUCCGAAGUUUCCCUCAGGAUAGCUGGAGUUGCACAGUUUUAUCAGGUAAAGCGAAUGAUUAGAGGAAUUGGGGACACGCUGUCCUUGACCUAUUCUCAAACUUUAAAUGGGUAAGAUGCAAUGGUUGCUUUAUUGAACUUUUGGAAUAAAUGGCAAUAUCAGGUGGGCCAUUUUUGGUAAGCAGAACUGGCGAUGAGGGAUGAACCUAACGUUGGGUUAAGGUGCUUAAUUGCUUGCUCAUUAGAUACCAGAAAGGGUGUUGGUUCAUUUUAACAGCAGGACGGUGGUCAUGGAAGUCGAAAUCCGCUAAGGAGUGUGUAACAACUCACCUGCCGAAUGGACUAGCCCCGAAAAUGGAUGGCGCUCAAGCGGGUGACCGAUACC
This 1324-nucleotide ribosomal RNA is filed under the name Alexandrium minutum. RNAcentral's name for it is "LSU rRNA". It matches the Rfam family "Eukaryotic large subunit ribosomal RNA", at positions 72 to 1348 of the family's 3401-position model. Lineage: Eukaryota; Dinophyceae; Gonyaulacales; Pyrocystaceae. The record is from RNAcentral.